Molecule: ribosomal RNA, 502 nt
Filed under: uncultured Glomeromycotina
Lineage: Eukaryota; Fungi; Glomeromycota
Description: partial small subunit ribosomal RNA
Rfam family: Eukaryotic small subunit ribosomal RNA
Source: RNAcentral
CCAAUAGCGUAUAUUAAAGUUGUUGCAGUUAAAAAGCUCGUAGUUGAAUUUCGGAAUCUGUCCAUCGGUCGGGCUUCACGGUCCGUACUGGUGUGGUGGGUUCUUACCUUCUGAAUAACCAGCAUGCCAUUCACUUGGUGCGUUGGGGAAGCAGGACUAUUACCUUGAAAAAAUUAGAGUGCUCAAAGCAGGCUAGUGCCUGAAUACAUUAGCAUGGAAUAAUAAAAUAGGACGGCAUGGUUCUAUUUUGUUGGUUUCUAGGAUCACCGUAAUGAUUAAUAGGGAUAGUUGGGGGCAUUAGUAUUCAAUUGUCAGAGGUGAAAUUCUUGGAUUUAUUGAAGACUAACUUCUGCGAAAGCAUUUGCCAAGGAUGUUUUCAUUAAUCAAGAACGAAAGUUAGGGGAUCGAAGACGAUCAGAUACCGUCGUAGUCUUAACCAUAAACUAUGCCGACUAGGGAUCGGACGAUGUUAAUUUUUUAAUGACUCGUUCGGCGCCUUACG